This 321-nucleotide ribosomal RNA is filed under the name uncultured Anaeroplasma sp. RNAcentral's name for it is "bacterial SSU rRNA". It matches the Rfam family "Bacterial small subunit ribosomal RNA", at positions 30 to 339 of the family's 1533-position model. Lineage: Bacteria; Bacillati; Mycoplasmatota; Mollicutes; Anaeroplasmatales; Anaeroplasmataceae. The record is from RNAcentral.
AUUGAACGCUGGCGGCAGGCCUAAUACAUGCAAGUCGAACGGUAACAGUAGAAAAGCUUGCUUUUCUAGCUGACGAGUGGCGGACGGGUGAGUAACAUUUGGGAAACUACCUGAUAGAGGGGGACAACAGUUGGAAACGAAGGAUAAUACUGGAUAGGACAUUAUAAAUCACAUGAUUAAAUGUUUAAAGGAGCGAUCCACCAUAAGAGGGGCCUGCGGCGCAUUAGCUAGUUGGUGAGGUAAAGGCCCACCAAGGCGAUGAUGCGUAGCUGGACUGAGAGGUUGAACAGCCACAAUGGGACUGAGAACGGCCCAUACUCC